Long non-coding RNA from Camelina sativa (false flax), 407 nucleotides. RefSeq lists it as uncharacterized. The record is from RefSeq and is a predicted model, not a curated record. Lineage: Eukaryota; Viridiplantae; Streptophyta; Magnoliopsida; Brassicales; Brassicaceae.
AACCAACUCCAAUUCAUUUAUAGUGUCGAAGAUGAAGAAACUUUUUCAAGUCUUCUUAACCGUACUAACUAUCUACAUCCUUCUUGUGCAAGUAAUAGGAGCGUCACCAAAUGACACAACAUAUUCAAAUAAAAUAUUGACAUGCUCUCUCGAAAAAUGUAAUGCUAUGUGUAUCAAAACGUGGAAAGGAUCAGUCGGUCUUUGCGAGAAAGUAAGCGCAAAAGGAGACAUGAAGUGCUACUGCAUAUAUAAGACCAAUGCCUGAGAAAUAUGUUAUAUAGGAAUAACUGUGGUCUCAUGGACUUAAUGAGUACACCUACCUUUAUCAUUGUCGUUAAAUUUAUUAUUAUUCAAAAUAAAACUCAAAAUAGUAAUGCAUUAUAAUAAAAAGAUCCAUGCUGAUGCUA